GGGAUAGUGGGGGGAGGUCGGCAGCGGUAGAGCGGAGGGGUGAAGCGUUGUGCGGAAGGAUUGGGCGUAAAGAGCGGGUAGGCGGGAUGUUACGUCUGCGGUGGAAACCCGGGGCGUAACCCCGGGCGUGCAGGGGAGACGGGCAGGCUAGAGGCAGGUAGGGGAGAAUGGAAUUCCCGGUGUAGCGGUGAAAUGCGCAGAUAUCGGGAGGAACACCGGUGGCGAAGGCGGUUCUCUGGGCCUGACCUGACGCUGAGGAGCGAAAGCGUGGGGAGCGAACAGGAUUAGAUACCCAGAGUC
Molecule: ribosomal RNA, 300 nt
Filed under: uncultured Pyrobaculum sp.
Lineage: Archaea; Thermoproteati; Thermoproteota; Thermoprotei; Thermoproteales; Thermoproteaceae
Description: partial 16S ribosomal RNA
Rfam family: Bacterial small subunit ribosomal RNA (bases 60-300)
Source: RNAcentral